GUCUUUAACAAAACAAUUGAAGAUUGUUACAGAUUUUUAUUAAAAUACAUUGUUGUCAUUUCUAUUACAGUCAAUAUUUCAGUUUAAUCACAAUCAGUCUUUGAAAUGGUUAAAGAUAUUAUUUGAUUUUAUAAUAAACAAAAUGUAAAUCAAAUUCAAAAUGACAUUAAUUUAUAAAUAUUGUAAUAUGGAAACGUUCCCUUCCCUUCCCUAAAGAAGCGCGUUUUGGCAACCAUUAUUUGACUUUUUUAUUUUGUUCACUUGUUACAUUUUUUGUUUGGUUUUUGUAUUACUUUUUGGUUAAUUUGGCUUUUUAUUUUGGGUAUUUAUGUUAACCAGUUAAAUGGAUUAUUUGACAGGUAAUUCAUCUUUAUUAAAUAUCAACUUUACCAAAUCAACAAUUACUUCUUCUCAUCAUUUUUACCUUUAUCUCGGGAGACAAUAAGCAACCUUUUCGGCUGGAAACAAUUCUCAUCACUUUGCUUUAUUCUUUACCUCAAUUUAAUGUUUUAUCUUUAAGGUGAAUUUAAGGUUUAUUUGAAAUAUUCAACCUUAUUUAACAUUUUUAUCAACCCAUCUUAUCCAAUAUAUAUUCAAAUGUAUCCAUUAUACAACAACAAAAUAUGGAAACGUCAAAAUUUCACUCUUGAAAGAAGCCAUCGUUUUUUUACCCAACCAUAGAUACAGUAAAUCUCUAACCUUAUCUCCGGAUAACUUGGUUAAUAAAGUGGAUUAUUAAUAUUUGCAAUAUCAUUAGCCUAUUAUUCAACAAAUUUAUUAGUACAGUUUCAGAUAAUCAGUCAUGAAAUAGUUACAAAUGCAACUUAAUGUAAUCAAAUCAGGACAACUCUUUAACUCUAGUUUUAAGUGUAAGCCUUUGAAUAAUGAUAUCUUUGUCGGGUCCAACUCCUGGUUAGAUUUAAAUCCAUUUUUUAUUCUCAUUUCAAGUAUUAUAAUAUUAAACCUUAAUUUUACAACAAAUCUAAUACAAUGAAACAAAUCGACAGCUCAAGAGCCAUAAAAUGAAUUUCAAUGAACUUCAAGUGCAACUCUGUGAACAUCAUUAGGUUAAAUCUAGUUUUAAAUCAUUCCACAUUUCCCUCCACAAUCACUUAAAAUCAUGUUAAUCUUUAUCCCUUCAUCAAUCAUAUAACAAUGGGUUUCAUCAGCUAAUAAGCAAUUGAUACAAAUAAUGUUAACAGAUCAAUAUAACCUUGUUUUUUGUCUUAUAAAGCAACAUGAAAAAACAUUGUUUCAAUCGGUUUUUUACACUUAAAAUAUCAUUUUUUGGCCUUUUUUUGUCUCUCAUCUUGUUCAUGAGCUAAAUCUGGAUGAAAAUGGUUUACACUAUUAACAUAAACUACAUUGAAAAUGAAAGCUAAAUGAUUAUUGAGCUUAAUGAGACCAAAAAAGUUGAUGGUCAGUAUGAAAGAUGUUAUAUAAUUUUUUAUCAUUGUUGUUUCCUUAACAUAACAGAUCAUUUUUUGUUGCUCUUUUCAUGGACAAGACUAAAGAUGAUGUUGUUGUUGUUGAUGAUGAUGAUGUAGUAGAUAAAAUGACCAAAGUAACAAACAAUGAUUAAGUUAAAGUCCGACCAAUGAUCAUUUAGCCUGCAGGUCACUUAUAUUCAUCAAAAUGAUUUUCAUUAAAGCUUUUGGCUUUUAUACAAUCUCGCUCUUGUCAUCCUAAAAAUCAUUUACUCUUUUUGUCAUCUUAAUGAGAUUUACAGCAAAAAAACAUAAUCAACCUCAUUUAUCAACUAAAUCAGAUUCCAUAACUGAUUAUAAUCCCUCUUUUUUUUACUUUUCUGGAAGGUUAAUCUCAUUUUUUCCCUUGUAUUGAACACAACAAAAAACGGAGUAGGACAAGAAGCAAAAAAUGAAUUCCCAAGCAAAUUAUUAUCUUAUUAUAUUGAUUCCCCUUUCAGGUAGAGGUAAUCAUGUAAUGUGUUGAGCUGUACACAAAUUGUGUACAAUAAAAGUAACAAACAAAUAAACAAAAAUACAAUGUAACACAAGGAAAAAAACUACCAAUGAUUCAAUUAACACAAUACCAAUAAGGUAAGCAAUACGAUGAAAAAAAGGGAAAUGGCAAGAAAACAGAGAAAAGAUAAAAGCCAAACAAAACAGGUUGUAACCCAAAUUGAAUUAAUUGAUUAACAAAAACUAAUGCAAGCAACCCAUUACAACCAAUGGAAACCUUGGACACUGAAGAUGGCGCUAAGUUUAAAGAAGCAAAUGGCAAUAAUAAAGAUGAAGAUAAAGAAGGCGAAGAAGACGAAAGAUGAAGAGGAAGAGAGGUGGUGAUAGAUGAAAAGUAGGAGUUUACAUUUGGCUCAACUUUACCAAUAAGAGUUGGGUUAUGGGAACGUUUCCAUAGAAACUAAUGCUGAAUAGAUUUAGCUAAGCUUCUCAAAGGCGUGUUCAUUCCUUGCCAUUUAAUCCCUUUCAUGAUUAAUUUUUGCGCCUUCUUGCCCAACAUUAUCAUCAUUUUAACAUGCACUUUCAUCCUUUUUUUUCUGGUCUUCAACCAUCAUCUUCAUCACCUUGACUUCACCCAAGUAACCCUCAUUUAAACUCAACGCCGACCUUAACCAUCCACUAUUUUGCGCAGUCCUCCUCUUCAUCAACCUCACUAUCUUCAUCACAAUCUUCACCACUAUCUUCAUUAACAACAUCAUCCAUAUCAUCUAGCUUUACAUGAAUUAAUCAUUCACUUUGUGUUUGUUUAUUUUUUUGGCUUCUUGUUUUUCAUUCUGUAUUUUCAUUGAACCUGGAAACAAGUCAAAAAAGCUGUUUGUUAAUUAUUAUGAUUACUUUGAUCUUUCCUCUUUUCAUUACAUUGAUCAAAGAUAAUGAAUCGAGUCAACAACUGACCAAUAUGAAAUUAAUAACAUAAAAUUAACUUACCUUUUCAAUCUUGUCAUUGUUAAUUACAUAAAUAUACACUCUUUUUAUGACCAAAGAUGCAAAUUAAUCAUUGGGGAAACAUGAAACAUUUACCAAUCAAUGGAAGCCAAUUAAUAAUGAAAUUAACCGUUUACCUCAUUCAGAGUUUACUGUUAAUCUCCAAUAAUCUCAAUAAUCACUUGAUCACCAAAAGUAGGUAAAUGGUCAAUAAAAACAAACCCAAGAUCAUUAAAUAGUCAAGAUAACUCAUAACCUUCAUCUUCCUCUUCUAAGCGCACGUAAAACUGUUGACUAGUUAACUAGUGUCCACCAAUGGCCAAUCAAAUAACAAGAGAAUCAUAAUAAUCAGUAAAAUUAUGGAAUCGAGUUAAUCAAAUUAACGGAUAAACAAUAACGAAUAUGAAAUGGCGUUAACAGUCAAUGCAAAGUGCAGUCUCAUCACAAUUAUGGUUACCAAUGGUUAAACUCGUUGAUCAACUUAACAGCUUACCUUUCAAUUUGUUUAACCAAAUUAGAGGAAAGAUUGAAAUUAAUAGCAAUUCUUGUUAAAUAUUUGGGAAU
Molecule: non-coding RNA, 3470 nt
Organism: Tetranychus urticae (two-spotted spider mite)
Lineage: Eukaryota; Metazoa; Arthropoda; Arachnida; Trombidiformes; Tetranychidae
Source: RefSeq, a predicted model, not a curated record